RNAcentral lists this ribosomal RNA (277 nucleotides) under Staphylococcus aureus subsp. aureus CO-06. Its description in RNAcentral is "partial 16S ribosomal RNA". It matches the Rfam family "Bacterial small subunit ribosomal RNA", at positions 1 to 266 of the family's 1533-position model. Lineage: Bacteria; Bacillati; Bacillota; Bacilli; Caryophanales; Staphylococcaceae. The record is from RNAcentral.
UUUUAUGGAGAGUUUGAUCCUGGCUCAGGAUGAACGCUGGCGGCGUGCCUAAUACAUGCAAGUCGAGCGAACGGACGAGAAGCUUGCUUCUCUGAUGUUAGCGGCGGACGGGUGAGUAACACGUGGAUAACCUACCUAUAAGACUGGGAUAACUUCGGGAAACCGGAGCUAAUACCGGAUGAUAUUUUGAACCGCAUGGUUCAAAAGUGAAAGACGGUCUUGCUGUCACUUAUAGAUGGAUCCGCGCUGCAUUAGCUAGUUGGUAAGGUAACGGCUU